GUAAGCGGAUGGGCUCGGCCUCAAGGACAGGGUGCUCGGCUGAAAAAAAAGCUAGCGGCGAUCACCGGUGCCAGGGCUCUCCAGAAACGGAGCCCAUCUAACCAAUGCCCAGCACACUCGCUCUGCUCCACACACGAGACCACCUCCGACCCGCACUAAGUUGGCCAACUGCACUCUGGAGGCGGCGGCAGCCAGCGAGGGAGAAGGGAAAGGCUGUCCCGGGACCCCGAGGAGGACUGCCCCGCCCCCGGGAACCGGGUGCGGCGUAAAACAACCCCGGCUCCGGGCCGACCCUUCCUGGCCCCUUGGAGGCCCAGGCGGGGCGGCGGGGGGCGACGCGGCAGGGGUCUCCGCGCCCAGGCUCCCGCGGAGCGGCCACACGUGGAGGUUCCCACUUUGGGGUCGCGGCCGCAGCAGCACCGGGCGGGAUGCUGUCCGCGCUGCCCGCGUACGGCCGCGGCCUGAGUGGAGACGCCUGCCCCCAGCCCCGAGGCCUCGGCCCCCGUCCGCCCUCUCUCCCUGCUCGGCGGCCUCGUACUCACGCUGACUUCAUGGCAGCAGGCUCCACGCCGCCCAAACGCGCAUGCGGGACGGCUGGCUGGCGAAGACUGCGGGACGUUAGGACCGGCAGCAAGAACUAGAACUUCGCGGCUAAGGCGCGGUGCUCUGCGAAGCCGGCGGCGACGCUAAGAGCCCAGGUGAGCUCCCGCCUGGCGCAUUUCAAACGGGCCAAUCAGCGCCCGUCCGCAGGGAGAGGCAGGACCUCCGCGGAAGUGACUUCGCUGCCGGAAGUGGCGCUUGUCUCCUAGGCGACCGACGCUGAAAGGGCCGCGGAGUCGCGUGUCAGGGCUGGAGGGAGAUCUUGAGGUCCUCCCAGUGACUGACCUGGCUCAUUCUCCGAAAGUGGUUGACAGGCCACUACGAGAGCUCUUGAGAGAAGCUUUGUGACAUGAAAUUCAUCAAAUGAAGCAAGAUUCAUUUUUAAAGAAUAAUACAAAGCUCCAGAGUAAUAUGCUUAAUCCAAAUGUUUAAAUAGAAUUUAAAACCACAUUUUAAGUAAAUUUAAAAUUAAUGAAAUAUCAAUAGUUUGCCUUAACAAGGACUUGCUUGAACCAUAUUCUCCUUUUAAAAUCACACACACAGAAUCAGUGUACAUUUAGAGAAAUUUCCCCAGCUGAAUAACAUUUUUGACAUGAAUUCAUUCAAAAGACACCAACCAUUAUGAAUAUUUUAGGCCAUGAUAAGCUGUAACCACCUCCGGCUUAUGGUGGUUAGGAUGUUGCAGCUUAAUGUUGACAUCUGG
Molecule: long non-coding RNA, 1303 nt
Filed under: Homo sapiens (human)
Lineage: Eukaryota; Metazoa; Chordata; Mammalia; Primates; Hominidae
Description: non-protein coding lnc-ANP32A-3:8
Source: RNAcentral